AACGGCAGCACGGACUUCGGUCUGGUGGCGAGUGGCGAACGGGUGAGUAACAUAUCGGAACGUAUCCAAUAAUGGGGGAUAACUAAUCGAAAGGUUGGCUAAUACCGCAUACGCCCUACGGGGGAAAGCUAGGGACCUUCGGGCCUGGCGUUAAUGGAGCGGCCGAUAUCUGAUUAGCUAGUUGGUGGGGUAAAGGCCCACCAAGGCGACGAUCAGUAGCUGGUCUGAGAGGACGACCAGCCACACUGGAACUGAGACACGGUCCAGACUCCUACGGGAGGCAGCAGUGGGGAAUUUUGGACAAUGGGCGCAAGCCUGAUCCAGCCAUUCCGCGUGAGUGAAGAAGGCCUUCGGGUUGUAAAGCUCUUUCGCAAGGGAAGAAAACUUAGCCACUAACAUUGGCUGAGGUUGACGGUACCUUGAUAAGAAGCACCGGCUAACUACGUGCCAGCAGCCGCGGUAAUACGUAGGGUGCGAGCGUUAAUCGGAAUUACUGGGCGUAAAGCGUGCGCAGGCGGUUUUGUAAGUCAGAUGUGAAAUCCCUCGGCUUAACUGAGGAACUGCAUCUGAUACUGGAAGGCUUGAGUGCAGGAGAGGAACGCGGAAUUCCAGGUGUAGCGGUGAAAUGCGUAGAUAUCUGGAGGAACACCGGUGGCGAAGGCGGCGUUCUGGACUGCAACUGACACUGAUGAACGAAAGCCAGGGGAGCAAACGGGAUUAGAUACCCCGGUAGUCCUGGCCCUAAACGAUGUCAACUAGCCGUUGGGUUCAUUAAAGGACUUAGUGGCGCAGCUAACGCGA
Molecule: ribosomal RNA, 801 nt
Filed under: uncultured bacterium
Lineage: Bacteria
Description: bacterial SSU rRNA
Rfam family: Bacterial small subunit ribosomal RNA
Source: RNAcentral